Molecule: long non-coding RNA, 247 nt
Filed under: Elaeis guineensis (African oil palm)
Lineage: Eukaryota; Viridiplantae; Streptophyta; Magnoliopsida; Arecales; Arecaceae
Description: long non-coding RNA (EGUI_LNC026741)
Source: RNAcentral
GGGUAGGGAUAACUGGAGAUCAUUUAUGGUGUUAUGUUGGAUGAUAGCAACUCAUUAACCUUCACCACUAAAUCCUGUCUUCUUUUAUCUUUUGCCUGUCUUUUCCUAGGUUCUAUGGCCCUACAAGCAACUAGUUGCAGUCUCAAACCAGCAGUCCAGAUCCAUGUCAGUGCCAAAUUUACAACUACUGAUGAUAUACAAGAUGUUAGAAUUUGCAACUCUAUGCUCCAACUCUUUCAGACUGGGG